Molecule: long non-coding RNA, 146 nt
Organism: Strigops habroptila (Kakapo)
Lineage: Eukaryota; Metazoa; Chordata; Aves; Psittaciformes; Psittacidae
Exons: 4
Source: RefSeq, a predicted model, not a curated record
CCCUGCAAGUGCUCACACCCCGUGUAGCCGAGGCCUCAGUGCCAUGGGUUAGUGGUGGCCUGGGCAGUCCUGGGGAAUGGCUGGACUUUAUGAGCUUAAAGGUCUUUUCCAACCUGGUUGAUUCUACAAUUCUAUGGGGUUUUAAU